GUGUGCUUACAAGUAGUCAGAGCCCGUUAAUGGGUGAUGGCGUGCCUUUUGUAGAAUGAACCGGCGAGUUACGAUUUGAUGCAAGGUUAAGCAGUAAAUGUGGAGCCGUAGCGGAAGCGAGUCUGAAUAGGGCGUUUAGUAUUUGGUCGUAGACCCGAAACCAGGUGAUCUACCCUUGGUCAGGUUGAAGUUCAGGUAACACUGAAUGGAGGACCGAACCGACUUACGUUGAAAAGUGAGCGGAUGAACUGAGGGUAGCGGAGAAAUUCCAAUCGAACCUGGAGAUAGCUGGUUCUCUCCGAAAUAGCUUUAGGGCUAGCCUCAAGUGAUGAUUAUUGGAGGUAGAGCACUGUUUGGACGAGGGGCCCCUCUCGGGUUACCGAAUUCAGACAAACUCCGAAUGCCAAUUAAUUUAACUUGGGAGUCAGAACAUGGGUGAUAAGGUCCGUGUUCGAAAGGGAAACAGCCCAGACCACCAGCUAAGGUCCCAAAAUAUAUGUUAAGUGGAAAAGGAUGUGGCGUUGCCCAGACAACUAGGAUGUUGGCUUAGAAGCAGCCAUCAUUUAAAGAGUGCGUAAUAGCUCACUAGUCGAGUGACACUGCGCCGAAAAUGUACCGGGGCUAAACAUAUUACCGAAGCUGUGGAUUGUCCUUUGGACAAUGGUAGGAGAGCGUUCUAAGGGCGUUGAAGCAUGAUCGUAAGGACAUGUGGAGCGCUUAGAAGUGAGAAUGCCGGUGUGAGUAGCGAAAGACGGGUGAGAAUCCCGUCCACCGAUUGACUAAGGUUUCCAGAGGAAGGCUCGUCCGCUCUGGGUUAGUCGGGUCCUAAGCUGAGGCCGACAGGCGUAGGCGAUGGAUAACAGGUUGAUAUUCCUGUACCACCUAUAAUCGUUUUAAUCGAUGGGGGGACGCAGUAGGAUAGGCGAAGCGUGCGAUUGGAUUGCA
RNAcentral lists this ribosomal RNA (945 nucleotides) under Staphylococcus aureus. RNAcentral describes it as "partial 23S ribosomal RNA". It matches the Rfam family "Bacterial large subunit ribosomal RNA", at positions 558 to 1508 of the family's 2925-position model. Lineage: Bacteria; Bacillati; Bacillota; Bacilli; Caryophanales; Staphylococcaceae. The record is from RNAcentral.